GACGAACGCUGGCGGCGUGCUUAACACAUGCAAGUCGAACGGUGAAGCCCUUCGGGGUGGAUCAGUGGCGAACGGGUGAGUAACACGUGAGCAACCUGCCCCUGGCUCUGGGACAACCACUGGAAACGGUGGCUAAUACCGGAUACGACCCGCCUCGGCAUCGAGUGUGGGUGGAAAGUUUUUCGGCUGGGGAUGGGCUCGCGGCCUAUCAGCUUGUUGGUGAGGUGAAGGCUCACCAAGGCGACGACGGGUAGCCGGCCUGAGAGGGCGACCGGCCACACUGGGACUGAGACACGGCCCAGACUCCUACGGGAGGCAGCAGUGGGGAAUAUUGCACAAUGGGCGAAAGCCUGAUGCAGCGACGCCGCGUGAGGGAUGACGGCCUUCGGGUUGUAAACCUCUUUCAGCUCCGAAGAAGCGAAAGUGACGGUAGGAGCAGAAGAAGCACCGGCUAGCUACGUG
Molecule: ribosomal RNA, 462 nt
Filed under: uncultured bacterium
Lineage: Bacteria
Description: partial 16S ribosomal RNA
Rfam family: Bacterial small subunit ribosomal RNA
Source: RNAcentral